This 496-nucleotide ribosomal RNA is filed under the name uncultured bacterium. RNAcentral's name for it is "partial 16S ribosomal RNA". It matches the Rfam family "Bacterial small subunit ribosomal RNA", at positions 29 to 507 of the family's 1533-position model. The record is from RNAcentral.
AUGAACGCUUGCGGCGUGCCUAAUACAUGCAAGUCGAGCGAACAGACGAGGAGCUUGCUCCUCUGACGUUAGCGGCGGACGGGUGAGUAACACGUGGAUAACCUACCUAUAAGACUGGGAUAACUUCGGGAAACCGGAGCUAAUACCGGAUAAUAUAUUGAACCGCAUGGUUCAAUAGUGAAAGACGGUUUUGCUGUCACUUAUAGAUGGAUCCGCGCCGCAUUAGCUAGUUGGUAAGGUAACGGCUUACCAAGGCAACGAUGCGUAGCCGACCUGAGAGGGUGAUCGGCCACACUGGAACUGAGACACGGUCCAGACUCCUACGGGAGGCAGCAGUAGGGAAUCUUCCGAAAUGGGCGAAAGCUUGACGGAGCAACGCCGCGUGAGUGAUGAAGGUCUUCGGAUCGUAAAACUCUGUUAUUAGGGAAGAACAAAUGUGUAAGUAACUAUGCACGUCUUGACGGUACCUAAUCAAAAAGCCACGGCUAACUACGUG